Molecule: transfer RNA, 70 nt
Filed under: Fonsecaea pedrosoi CBS 271.37
Lineage: Eukaryota; Fungi; Ascomycota; Eurotiomycetes; Chaetothyriales; Herpotrichiellaceae
Description: tRNA-Arg (TCT) (tRNA-Arg-TCT-1-1)
Rfam family: tRNA
About the family: Transfer RNA (tRNA) molecules are approximately 80 nucleotides in length. Their secondary structure includes four short double-helical elements and three loops (D, anti-codon, and T loops). Further hydrogen bonds mediate the characteristic L-shaped molecular structure. tRNAs have two regions of fundamental functional importance: the anti-codon, which is responsible for specific mRNA codon recognition, and the 3' end, to which the tRNAs corresponding amino acid is attached (by aminoacyl-tRNA synthetases). tRNAs cope with the degeneracy of the genetic code in two manners: having more than one tRNA (with a specific anti-codon) for a particular amino acid; and 'wobble' base-pairing, i.e. permitting non-standard base-pairing at the 3rd anti-codon position.
Source: RNAcentral
GCUCCGCUGGCGCAAUGGUAGCGCGCCAGACUUCUACUCUUAGCUGUGUGUUCGAGUCCCACGCGGAGUG